GUGAGGUUCCCUGCUCAGCUCCUGGGGCUGCUAAUGCUUUGGGUUCCUGGAUCCUGUGGGAAUAUUGUGAUGACCCAGACUCCACUCUCUCUGCCCGUCACCAAUGGAGAGCCGGCCUCCAUCUCCUGCAGGUCUAGUCAGAACCUUUUACAUGGUAAUGGAUACACCUAUUUGUAUUAGUUCCUGCAGAAGCCAGGCCACUCUCCACAGCUCCUGAUCUGUAGGACUUCCAAUCAGUUUUCUGCCUUCCCACACAGGUUCUCCCCAAUGGGAGGAGAGAGUAGACCAGUCAUCCCCAGAUAUAUCACAGGACUAGUUUCAACCUUUGGAAGCUGGUCUAUAUCCUAUGGUUAAAUAGGCAUUUGUGAUACGACCUGAAAUACAUUUGGACAAGAACUUCACUAACAAUUGAGUCACUGAAGACUUAUGGCCCUGUGUGACGCACCACAUAACCGUGAGUUUGCAGUGGUUGCAGGUCAGGGACAGAUUUUAUGCUUAAGAUCAGUAGGGUGGAGGCUGAGGAUCUUGGCUAUUACAACUGCCACCACACUCUACAAUAUCCU
Homo sapiens (human) is the source of this 563-nucleotide non-coding RNA. NCBI's taxonomy places the organism in Eukaryota, Metazoa, Chordata, Mammalia, Primates, Hominidae. The record is from the annotation of a RefSeq genome assembly.